Molecule: non-coding RNA, 372 nt
Organism: Pelobates cultripes (western spadefoot toad)
Lineage: Eukaryota; Metazoa; Chordata; Amphibia; Anura; Pelobatidae
Source: the annotation of a GenBank genome assembly
AUAAAGGUUAAAGGGACACUAUAGUCACCUGAACAACUUUAGCUUAGUGAAGCAGUUUUGGUGUAUAGAACAUGCCCCUGCAGCCUCACUGCUCAGUCCUCUGCCAUUUAGGAGUUAAAUCCCUUUGUUUAUGAACCCUAGUCACACCUCCCUGCAUGUGACUUGCACAGCCUUCCAUAAACACUUCCUGUAAAGAGAGCCCUAUUUAGGCUUUCUUUAUUGCAAGUUCUGUUUAAUUAAGAUUUUCUUAUCCCCCUGCUAUGUUAAUAGCUUGCUAGACCCUGCAAGAGCCUCCUGUAUGUGAUUAAAGUUCAAUUUAGAGAUUGAGAUACAAUUAUUUAAGGUAAAUUACAUCUGUUUGAAAGUGAAACC